AGCGUUGUCCGGAAUUAUUGGGCGUAAAGCGCUUGUAGGCGGUCUGUCGCGUCUGCUGUGAAAAUCCGGGGCUCAACCCCGGACUUGCAGUGGGUACGGGCAGACUAGAGUGUGGUAGGGGAGACUGGAAUUCCUGGUGUAGCGGUGAAAUGCGCAGAUAUCAGGAGGAACACCGAUGGCGAAGACAGGUCUCUGGGCCGUAACUGACGCUGAGGUGCGAGAGCGUGGGGAGCGAACCGG
Molecule: ribosomal RNA, 240 nt
Filed under: uncultured bacterium
Lineage: Bacteria
Description: partial 16S ribosomal RNA
Rfam family: Bacterial small subunit ribosomal RNA
Source: RNAcentral